AAAUUGAAGAGUUUGAUCAUGGCUCAGAUUGAACGCUGGCGGCAGGCCUAACACAUGCAAGUCGAACGGUAACAGGAAGCAGCUUGCUGCUUUGCUGACGAGUGGCGGACGGGUGAGUAAUGUCUGGGAAACUGCCUGAUGGAGGGGGAUAACUACUGGAAACGGUGGCUAAUACCGCAUAACGUCGCAAGACCAAAGAGGGGGACCUUCGGGCCUCUUGCCAUCAGAUGUGCCCAGAUGGGAUUAGCUUGUUGGUGAGGUAACGGCUCACCAAGGCGACGAUCCCUAGCUGGUCUGAGAGGAUGACCAGCCACACUGGAACUGAGACACGGUCCAGACUCCUACGGGAGGCAGCAGUGGGGAAUAUUGCACAAUGGGCGCAAGCCUGAUGCAGCCAUGCCGCGUGUAUGAAGAAGGCCUUCGGGUUGUAAAGUACUUUCAGCGGGGAGGAAGGUGUUGUGGUUAAUAACCGCAGCAAUUGACGUUACCCGCAGAAGAAGCACCGGCUAACUCCGUGCCAGCAGCCGCGGUAAUACGGAGGGUGCAAGCGUUAAUCGGAAUUACUGGGCGUAAAGCGCACGCAGGCGGUCUGUCAAGUCGGAUGUGAAAUCCCCGGGCUCAACCUGGGAACUGCAUUCGAAACUGGCAGGCUUGAGUCUUGUAGAGGGGGGUAGAAUUCCAGGUGUAGCGGUGAAAUGCGUAGAGAUCUGGAGGAAUACCGGUGGCGAAGGCGGCCCCCUGGACAAAGACUGACGCUCAGGUGCGAAAGCGUGGGGAGCAAACAGGAUUAGAUACCCUGGUAGUCCACGCCGUAAACGAUGUCUACUUGGAGGUUGUGCCCUUGAGGCGUGGCUUCCGGAGCUAACGCGUUAAGUAGACCGCCUGGGGAGUACGGCCGCAAGGUUAAAACUCAAAUGAAUUGACGGGGGCCCGCACAAGCGGUGGAGCAUGUGGUUUAAUUCGAUGCAACGCGAAGAACCUUACCUGGUCUUGACAUCCACGGAAG
RNAcentral lists this ribosomal RNA (1006 nucleotides) under Salmonella enterica subsp. enterica serovar Senftenberg. RNAcentral describes it as "partial 16S ribosomal RNA". It matches the Rfam family "Bacterial small subunit ribosomal RNA", at positions 1 to 996 of the family's 1533-position model. RNAcentral also lists the same sequence under 1 other name. Lineage: Bacteria; Pseudomonadati; Pseudomonadota; Gammaproteobacteria; Enterobacterales; Enterobacteriaceae. The record is from RNAcentral.